GUGGGGAAUCUUGCGCAAUGGGCGAAAGCCUGACGCAGCCAUGCCGCGUGAAUGAUGAAGGUCUUAGGAUUGUAAAAUUCUUUCACCGGGGACGAUAAUGACGGUACCCGGAGAAGAAGCCCCGGCUAACUUCGUGCCAGCAGCCGCGGUAAUACGAAGGGGGCUAGCGUUGCUCGGAAUUACUGGGCGUAAAGGGCGCGUAGGCGGACAUUUAAGUCAGGGGUGAAAUCCCAGAGCUCAACUCUGGAACUGCCUUUGAUACUGGGUGUCUUGAGUGUGAGAGAGGUAUGUGGAACUCCGAGUGUAGAGGUGAAAUUCGUAGAUAUUCGGAAGAACACCAGUGGCGAAGGCGACAUACUGGCUCAUUACUGACGCUGAGGCGCGAAAGCGUGGGGAGCAAACAGGAUUAGAAACCCCAGUAGUCC
RNAcentral lists this ribosomal RNA (425 nucleotides) under uncultured bacterium. RNAcentral's name for it is "bacterial SSU rRNA". It matches the Rfam family "Bacterial small subunit ribosomal RNA", at positions 354 to 796 of the family's 1533-position model. The record is from RNAcentral.